Molecule: ribosomal RNA, 274 nt
Filed under: uncultured bacterium
Lineage: Bacteria
Description: partial 16S ribosomal RNA
Rfam family: Bacterial small subunit ribosomal RNA
Source: RNAcentral
AUACAGAGGGUGCGAGCGUUAAUCGGAAUUACUGGGCGUAAAGCGCGCGUAGGCGGCUACUUAAGUCAGAUGUGAAAUCCCCGGGCUCAACCUGGGAACUGCAUCUGAUACUGGGUAGCUAGAGUUUAGGAGAGGGAAGUAGAAUUUCAGGUGUAGCGGUGAAAUGCAUAGAGAUCUGAAGGAAUACCAGUGGCGAAGGCGGCUACCUGGCCUAAAACUGACGCUGAGGUGCGAAAGCGUGGGUAGCAAACGGGAUUAGAAACCCGGGUAGUCC